UCCGUAGGUGAACCUGCGGAAGGAUCAUUAUCGAUGGCCGCGCCGUGAGCGCCCUGGUGCAGGAUCGGCCGGCCACUGACCACACCCUUACUUUACGAGCACCUUUCGUUCUCCUUCGGCGGGGCAACCCGCCGCUGGAACCUCAUCAAACCCUUUUUUGCAUCUAGCAUUACCUGUUCUGAUAAAAAACAAUCGUAACAACUUUCAACAAUGGAUCUCUUGGCUCUGGCAUCGAUGAAGAACGCAGCGAAAUGCGAUAAGUAGUGUGAAUUGCAGAAUUCAGUGAAUCAUCGAAUCUUUGAACGCACAUUGCGCCCCUUGGUAUUCCAUGGGGCAUGCCUGUUCGAGCGUCAUCUACACCCUCAAGCUCUGCUUGGUGUUGGGCGUCUGUCCCGCCUCUGCGCGCGGACUCGCCCCAAAGGCAUUGGCAGCGGUCCACGGCCCCUCUCGCGCAGCACAUUGCGCUUCUCGAGGCGGCCCGGCCCGCAUCCACGAAGCCCACAUUACCGUCUUUGACCUCGGAUCAGGUAGGGAUACCCGCUGAACUUAAGCAUAUCAAUAAGCGGAGGA
Molecule: ribosomal RNA, 570 nt
Filed under: Pleosporales sp. 20 KB-2015
Lineage: Eukaryota; Fungi; Ascomycota; Dothideomycetes; Pleosporales
Description: eukaryotic LSU rRNA
Rfam family: 5.8S ribosomal RNA (bases 200-353)
Source: RNAcentral